AGUGAACGCUGGCGGCGUGCCUAAUACAUGCAAGUCGAACGCGAAAGUCCUUCGGGAUGAGUAAAGUGGCGCACGGGUGAGUAAUACAUGGGAACAUGCCCUUGGGUGGGGAAUAACGUUUGGAAACGAACGCUAAUACCGCAUAAUCUCGCGAGAGUAAAGGUGGCGCCGCAAGGGCUACCGUCCAAGGAUUGGCCCAUGUCCCAUUAGCUAGUUGGCGGGGUAAUGGCCCACCAAGGCAACGAUGGGUAACUGGUCUGAGAGGAUGAUCAGUCACACUGGAACUGAGACACGGUCCAGACUCCUACGGGAGGCAGCAGUAGGGAAUAUUGCACAAUGGGGGAAACCCUGAUGCAGCAACGCCGCGUGAGUGAAGAAGGCCCUUGGGUUGUAAAGCUCUUUAGCGUGGGAAGAAGGUAGACACGGUGAAUAAUCGUGUUUGCUGACGGUACCACGAGAAUAAGCACCGGCUAAUUUCGUGCCAGCCGCCGCGGUAA
RNAcentral lists this ribosomal RNA (497 nucleotides) under uncultured bacterium. RNAcentral's name for it is "partial 16S ribosomal RNA". It matches the Rfam family "Bacterial small subunit ribosomal RNA", at positions 29 to 523 of the family's 1533-position model. The record is from RNAcentral.